Molecule: ribosomal RNA, 751 nt
Filed under: uncultured bacterium
Lineage: Bacteria
Description: bacterial SSU rRNA
Rfam family: Bacterial small subunit ribosomal RNA
Source: RNAcentral
CCCAAUUGAUUGACGGUGCUUGCACCUGAUUGAUUUUGGUCGCCAACGAGUGGCGGACGGGUGAGUAACACGUAGGUAACCUGCCCAGAAGCGGGGGACAACAUUUGGAAACAGAUGCUAAUACCGCAUAACAACGUUGUUCGCAUGAACAACGCUUAAAAGAUGGCUUCUCGCUAUCACUUCUGGAUGGACCUGCGGUGCAUUAGCUUGUUGGUGGGGUAACGGCCUACCAAGGCGAUGAUGCAUAGCCGAGUUGAGAGACUGAUCGGCCACAAUGGGACUGAGACACGGCCCAUACUCCUACGGGAGGCAGCAGUAGGGAAUCUUCCACAAUGGGCGCAAGCCUGAUGGAGCAACACCGCGUGAGUGAAGAAGGGUUUCGGCUCGUAAAGCUCUGUUGUUAAAGAAGAACACGUAUGAGAGUAACUGUUCAUACGUUGACGGUAUUUAACCAGAAAGUCACGGCUAACUACGUGCCAGCAGCCGCGGUAAUACGUAGGUGGCAAGCGUUAUCCGGAUUUAUUGGGCGUAAAGAGAGUGCAGGCGGUUUUCUAAGUCUGAUGUGAAAGCCUUCGGCUUAACCGGAGAAGUGCAUCGGAAACUGGAUAACUUGAGUGCAGAAGAGGGUAGUGGAACUCCAUGUGUAGCGGUGGAAUGCGUAGAUAUAUGGAAGAACACCAGUGGCGAAGGCGGCUACCUGGUCUGCAACUGACGCUGAGACUCGAAAGCAUGGGUAGCGAACAGGAUUAGA